AGCAACUUAGUUCAAUGGUAGAACAGAGCGCAUAUGGUUAAACAAGGGCUUAAGAAGAUGGUUCGAUUCCAUCAGUUGCUG
This 81-nucleotide transfer RNA is filed under the name Lactobacillus sp. RNAcentral describes it as "tRNA-OTHER". It matches the Rfam family "tRNA". From Rfam's summary of the family: Transfer RNA (tRNA) molecules are approximately 80 nucleotides in length. Their secondary structure includes four short double-helical elements and three loops (D, anti-codon, and T loops). Lineage: Bacteria; Bacillati; Bacillota; Bacilli; Lactobacillales; Lactobacillaceae. The record is from RNAcentral.